This 79-nucleotide small RNA is filed under the name Rubeoparvulum massiliense. RNAcentral's name for it is "BsrC". It matches the Rfam family "BsrC". Rfam says of the family: The 301 nucleotide sequence from Kouji Nakamura has been trimmed to a highly conserved ~85 nucleotide long core to form this family. The record is from RNAcentral. Lineage: Bacteria; Bacillati; Bacillota; Bacilli; Caryophanales; Bacillaceae.
CCUAAAACAAUGAAAGCCCUACCUCUCUUCCAUCCUUACGGUUCCGUGACCGCGCCAGUGUGAUUCAGGUUUUUAAAAC